AGGCCAUGAUUGGUUGGGCUGUA
Molecule: non-coding RNA, 23 nt
Filed under: Arabidopsis thaliana (thale cress)
Lineage: Eukaryota; Viridiplantae; Streptophyta; Magnoliopsida; Brassicales; Brassicaceae
Source: RNAcentral